CACCUUCGGUCGAAUCGGCAGGAUGGGACUGGGUACGCCGGUGGAGUCGCGUGCGCACCCGUGACAUCGGUUGAUGUCGGGCACACACGUAUAUGAACCAGAACCAGAAGGAGAAGAAGGGGCGCGCGAGGAGGGGGUAAGGGGGCCGCUGGUUGGGGCAGGAGGAGGAGGCCGGGUAGAGGCGGCGCUCGGAUUCUCGACUUGUUACCGCUUCUAGUUCGGUUUCCGUAACGACCGUGUCUCGUUCGUCUUCUUCCCGGGAUGAGUCUAGCCGGACCACUCCUAGUAGUGGAUGUAGCAGGAGCCGCGGGAUCGUCACAGGAGGCAAAUGAUACGGAUAGUCAUGACCGUCUCGUUUCCUCGCCGGCAACGCCGUCGUCGUCCUCGUCGUCUUCCGCAGCACCCCUUGAUUUCGGGGUCCUUGCAUCAACUAAAACGACGACAACAACAUAACAGAACAGUCAAAAAAGACCAACAGCGUCAGGCCAUUUAAACACCUUGUAACUGUCUCGUACGCUGCGAAUCACAUAGGGGGACAUUUAACGGAAUUGUAAAUACGAAUAUAAAGGAAGAAGCUGUACCUCAAGGCCAACAAGUCAACUAUCACAUGAGGAGACGAUGAGUGAUGAGUCUAUUUGUAUGCUCCCGUGUUUUUUGACAAGGGUUCACAUUGCACGUGUAGGACAUCGAUCACAAAGAAAAACCUCCUUUCGGACACCUUCAACUAUCACAAAGAAGGUUUUUCUUUGUGAUCGGAAACUCCCCAUAAGUAAAACGGAAUUUAAAAAAAUUAAUCAGGUUUAGUAAAGCG
RNAcentral lists this ribosomal RNA (811 nucleotides) under Triticum aestivum (bread wheat). RNAcentral's name for it is "partial small subunit ribosomal RNA". The record is from RNAcentral. Lineage: Eukaryota; Viridiplantae; Streptophyta; Magnoliopsida; Poales; Poaceae.